UCCCGUUUAGCUCAGUUGGUAGAGCGCGUCACUAGUACCACCCGAUUGGCUAUGACGAGGUCAGUCGUUCGAGUCGGCUAAUGGGAA
This is a non-coding RNA of Trametes coccinea BRFM310, 87 nucleotides long. NCBI's taxonomy places the organism in Eukaryota, Fungi, Basidiomycota, Agaricomycetes, Polyporales, Polyporaceae. The record is from the annotation of a GenBank genome assembly.